AAAGAAAGUAAGCAAGGGCGCAUGGCGGAUGCCUUGGCUCUCGGAGGCGAUGAAGGACGUGAUAAGCUGCGAUAAGCUUCGGGAAGGUGCAAAUAACCUUUGAUCCGAAGAUUUCCGAAUGGGACAACCCGUCAUUCUGAAGGAAUGACAUCUUGCAUAGCAAGAGGCUAACGCAGGGAACUGAAACAUCUUAGUACCUGCAGGAAAAGAAAAUAAUAAUGAUUCCCCAAGUAGUGGCGAGCGAACGGGGAUUAGCCCAAACCAAUGUUGUUACGGCAAUAUUGGGGUUGUAGGACCACGAUGUCGCAAGAAGUUUAGUGAGAAGAAUUCUUUGGAAAAUGAAACCAUAGACGGUGAUAGUCCGGUAUUCGAAGCUAAACGAAGCGUAGUGGUAUCCUGAGUAGCGCGGGACACGAGGAAUCUUGCGUGAAUCUGCCGGGACCAUCCGGUAAGGCUAAAUACUCCCGAGAGACCGAUAGCGAACCAGUACUGUGAAGGAAAGGUGAAAAGCACUUCGAAUAGAAGAGUGAAAUAGUCCCUGAAACCGUGCGCCUACAAGCGGUCGGAGCAGCGUAAGUUGUGACGGCGUGCCUUUUGCAUAAUGAACCUACGAGUUACUUUUUCCGGCAAGGUUAAGCAUUUCAAAAUGUGUAGCCGAAGCGAAAGCGAGUCUGAACAGGGCGAUUAGUCGGAAGGAGUAGACGCGAAACCAAGUGAUCUACCCUUGGUCAGGUUGAAGGUUAGGUAACACUAACUGGAGGACCGAACCGAUAAGCGUUGAAAAGCUUCCGGAUGAACUGAGGGUGGGGGUGAAAGGCUAAUCAAACUUGGAGAUAGCUCGUACUCCCCGAAAUGCAUUUAGGUGCAGCCUUGGGAAUUACUACUGUGAGGUAGAGCGACUGAUAAGAUGCGAGGGCUUCACCGCCUAUCAAGUCUUGAUAAACUCCGAAUGCGCAGUAGUUCGAUCCCAGGAGUGAGGGCAUGGGUGCUAAGGUCCAUGUCCUAAAGGAGAAGAAUCCGGACCAUCAGCUAAGGUCCCGAAAUAAUUGCUAAGUUGAACUAACGAAGUCAGAUUGCUAAGACAGCUAGGAUGUUGGCUUGGAAGCAGCCAUUCAUUUAAAGAGUGCGUAACAGCUCACUAGUCGAGGAGUUUGGCGUGGAUAAUAAUCGGGCAUUAAGCAAUUUACCGAAGCUAUGGGAUCAGUAAUGAUCGGUAGGGGAGCAUUCCACUCUGCGUCGAAGGUGAAGCGUGAGCUUUGCUGGAGCGUGUGGAAAAGCAAAUGUAGGUAUAAGUAACGAUAAAGGGGGUGAGAAACCCCCUCGCCGAAAGACUAAGGUUUCCUGAUCAACGCUAAUCGGAUCAGGGUUAGUCGGGUCCUAAGGCUCAGCCGAACGGUGAGGCCGAUGGCAGAACAGGUUAAUAUUCCUGUACUACCUUAAGGAGUGACGUGGAGACGGAGCAGUGAUAGCGCCGCGGACUGACGGAAUAGUCCGUUGAAGGGUGUAGAUGUUGAUCUUUGCAGGCAAAUCCACAAAGAGAGUCGAACCUGAUAGUAU
This 1557-nucleotide ribosomal RNA is filed under the name Bacteroides xylanisolvens. Its description in RNAcentral is "bacterial LSU rRNA". It matches the Rfam family "Bacterial large subunit ribosomal RNA", at positions 1 to 1572 of the family's 2925-position model. The record is from RNAcentral. Lineage: Bacteria; Pseudomonadati; Bacteroidota; Bacteroidia; Bacteroidales; Bacteroidaceae.